AUUGAACGCUGGCGGCAGGCCUAACACAUGCAAGUCGAACGAGUGGCGGACGGGUGAGUAAUGUCUGGGAAAAUGCCUGAUGGAGGGGGAUAACUACUGGAAACGGUAGCUAAUACCGCAUACCAUCGGAUGUGCCCAGAUGGGAUUAGCGAGUAGGUUGGGUAACGGCUCACCUAGGCGACGAUCCCUAGCUGGUCUUAGAGGAUGACAAGCCACACUUGAACUGAGACACGGUCCAGACUCCUACGGGAGUCAGCAGUGGGGAAUAUUGCACCAGUGGCGCAAGCCUGAUGCAGCCAUGCCGCGUGUAUUAAGAAGGCCUUCGGGUUGUAAAGUACUUUCAGCGGGGAGGCGUUACCCGCAGAAGAAGCACCGGCUAACUCCGUGCCAGCAGCCGCGGUAAUUC
RNAcentral lists this ribosomal RNA (406 nucleotides) under uncultured bacterium. RNAcentral's name for it is "partial 16S ribosomal RNA". It matches the Rfam family "Bacterial small subunit ribosomal RNA", at positions 30 to 526 of the family's 1533-position model. The record is from RNAcentral.